RNAcentral lists this transfer RNA (68 nucleotides) under Marmota monax (woodchuck). Its description in RNAcentral is "tRNA.Ala". Lineage: Eukaryota; Metazoa; Chordata; Mammalia; Rodentia; Sciuridae. The record is from RNAcentral.
GUGGUGGUUCAGUGGUAGUGCACUUGACUAGCAUGUAUGAGGCACUGGGUUCGAUUUUCAGCACCACA